Pteronotus mesoamericanus is the source of this 131-nucleotide small nucleolar RNA. RefSeq annotates it as small nucleolar RNA SNORA38. The record is from RefSeq and is a predicted model, not a curated record. The transcript has a single exon. Lineage: Eukaryota; Metazoa; Chordata; Mammalia; Chiroptera; Mormoopidae.
AUUACCCAUGUAGGCAUGUCUGUGGUUCCCUGUCAUUGGACAUGCAAGAACUGGAGGCAGAGAAAUGUGGACGUGGGGAAGUCUGGGGCCAGCCUGCUCCCUGCAGGCUCAAGAUCAACCAUUUCACAUAG